GCCCGUAUUCCUGCUCCGGUGUGAGUCGCUACGGUGGCUCUCUCGGCACUAAAACAGGAAGGGACAGUCCACAUCCUUGCGAUAUGGAGCUGGGAAUAUUACUGUUUCUCACAAGAUGUUUAGAGAGAGCUGAUGCCACAUCUGGUCCAGCCGAUGGAAGGUCUUGAAGUUCUCGGACUGGCCGUGACUGAAGAUGGUCCUCUCACUGGAUUUGAGGUUCAGAUGCUCAGUAACAAACUCCACCAAAGAGCCAACAGGGAAGCUUUUGGUUUAUUAAAUGUUGCUAUGAAGCAUGAAGACUAAACUCUCCACAAGGAUCCAAAAUAAGUUGGACUUCUACAUGAGAGCUUUAAUUAUUCUUUAUCUACUACCUGAGAAGUUUGGUUAAUAAAAAAAGACAAAAACUAAUAUUUUCAGCUGAACUAAAGACAGACUUUGUGAUUUUUCUGCUCACAUGUUGUGUUGUUGUAAACUUAUUCUUUCAAAUAAAUAGUUCCCUAACCCCCUGGAAA
Acanthochromis polyacanthus (spiny chromis) is the source of this 512-nucleotide long non-coding RNA. RefSeq lists it as uncharacterized. The transcript is spliced from 2 exons. Lineage: Eukaryota; Metazoa; Chordata; Actinopteri; Pomacentridae. The record is from RefSeq and is a predicted model, not a curated record.